UACGUUCCCGGGCCUUGUACACACCGCCCGUCACACCACGAAAGUCGGCAAUACCCGAAGCCGGUGGCCUAACCCGUAAGGGAGGGAGCCGUCGAAGGUAGGGUUGAUGAUUGGGGUG
Molecule: ribosomal RNA, 118 nt
Filed under: uncultured bacterium
Lineage: Bacteria
Description: partial 16S ribosomal RNA
Rfam family: Bacterial small subunit ribosomal RNA
Source: RNAcentral